UGGGGAAUAUUGGACAAUGGGCGAAAGCCUGAUGCAGCGACGCCGCGUGGGGGAUGACGGCCUUCGGGUUGUAAACCUCUUUCAGUCGGGACGAAGGGUGACUGACGGUACCGACAGAAGAAGCGCCGGCCAACUACGUGCCAGCAGCCGCGGUAAGACGUAGGGCGCGAGCGUUGUCCGGAUUUAUUGGGCGUAAAGAGCUCGUAGGCGGCUUGUUGCGUCGUCCGUGAAAACCCGUGGCUCAACUGCGGGCUUGCGGUCGAUACGGGCAGGCUGGAGUUCGGUAGGGGAGACUGGAAUUCCUGGUGUAGCGGUGAAAUGCGCAGAUAUCAGGAGGAACACCGGUGGCGAAGGCGGGUCUCUGGGCCGAUACUGACGCUGAGGAGCGAAAGCGUGGGGAGCGAAC
Molecule: ribosomal RNA, 406 nt
Filed under: uncultured bacterium
Lineage: Bacteria
Description: bacterial SSU rRNA
Rfam family: Bacterial small subunit ribosomal RNA
Source: RNAcentral